Molecule: unclassified non-coding RNA, 1266 nt
Filed under: Hevea brasiliensis (rubber tree)
Lineage: Eukaryota; Viridiplantae; Streptophyta; Magnoliopsida; Malpighiales; Euphorbiaceae
Source: RNAcentral
AAGGUUUUUCAUUGAUAAAUAAAAUGUUUCAGUUUUUCAUUCUCAUAUAAAAAGCAAGAAAAGUUACGUAGUUCUAUUCUACAACUACAACAUCAUAUAUUUUAAUAUUAAAACAAAACUACGUUCAUACCACUCACAGUUACAUUCAUGACUUGUGAAAUUCAAGAAUCGUAAAAAAAUGAUCGAUAUAGAAACCCUUGCACUCGUUGAAACCGGCAGCUCGACCGAGCUGCCGGUAUUCUUCCUCAGUACGGUGCUUGCCCUUGGCACGGUAAAUAGUCAUGACAAAAAUAUCACCUUCAAGAAGUGCUCUUGUUCUCUUGCUAUCAUCAGUAUGAUGAGGCAAAACUGGCUCACAAGCAAUAAAUUUGCCUUUCUCUGGAAGUGCAUUGUAACAACUCUUCAUUAUUUCUUUACAUUCAUCAUCUGUCCAUGUUGUUAGCACCCACUUCAUGAAAAUAGCAUCCCCCUUUGGUAUAUAAUCAAACAUGUCACCACCAACGUGCUUUAUACUAGGAAUUUGUGGGGCUUUUUCAACCACCUCAGGCAAAUCAAAGUUGAUUCCAAGUUCAAUAUCUGUAUGUUUUUCUAAAAUCAUUUUCAAGCAAUCUCCACCACUUCCUCCAACAUCAACAAGUGUUUUCACACCUUGAAACCCAUCAUAUCCUUGUAAAAUUGCCUUCAUAAAUGGCACAGAAACUCCAGACAUUGCAUUUAACAUAAGGCUAUUCAUCUCUGAGUUUUUUCCAUAGUAACUAUAAGCUGGCUCACCAUUUGCCUUCGCAAAUGGCUCUAUCGAUGAAUCAUUAACCGCCUCAUGAACCAUCGUCCACGCCUUCAUUAACGCGUCCUGAUGGUGCUGGAGCACGUACGAACCAUGAGAUAAGCCAUUCUCGUCCGUCACUAGGGUUUUCCCCACCUUAGUCAAUGAAUAUCUUCUUUGAGAGCCGUCAUCAACAUGUUCCUUGAACACACCAUAGCUCGUGAGCAUACGUAAAAUUCGUUGAAGGUUCUCAGCAUCCCCGCCGCCCUGAGGGCCGCGGAUUUUAGCCAGAAUUUCAACAGGAGAGAGUGGAGCAUUUGAUCCAUUUUCCCAAACAGCAUCAGUUACCUUAAGUUUAACAACAGCAUUAAGGGACAUAGGUACACUUAUCAUGUUAGCUAAUUCCAUUAUAGCUAAUCUUUCAUCAUUAUUAUUGUUGUUGCUUGGUUCCCCAUUUGCAUUCUCCAUGGCUUCUCUAUACUUUUUUUGGAACUAUAUGUUAU